GACGAACGCUGGCGGUGUGCUUAACACAUGCAAGUCGAACGGAAAGGCCCUGCUUUUGUGGGGUGCUCGAGUGGCGAACGGGUGAGUAACACGUGAGUAACCUGCCCUUGACUUUGGGAUAACUUCAGGAAACUGGGGCUAAUACCGGAUAGGAGCUCCUGCUGCAUGGUGGGGGUUGGAAAGUUUCGGCGGUUGGGGAUGGACUCGCGGCUUAUCAGCUUGUUGGUGGGGUAGUGGCUUACCAAGGCUUUGACGGGUAGCCGGCCUGAGAGGGUGACCGGCCACAUUGGGACUGAGAUACGGCCCAGACUCCUACGGGAGGCAGCAGUGGGGAAUAUUGCACAAUGGGCGGAAGCCUGAUGCAGCAACGCCGCGUGCGGGAUGACGGCCUUCGGGUUGUAAACCGCUUUCGCCCGUGACGAAGCGUGAGUGACGGUAAUGGGUAAAGAAGCACCGGCUAACUACGUG
This 468-nucleotide ribosomal RNA is filed under the name uncultured bacterium. RNAcentral's name for it is "partial 16S ribosomal RNA". It matches the Rfam family "Bacterial small subunit ribosomal RNA", at positions 28 to 507 of the family's 1533-position model. The record is from RNAcentral.